Molecule: non-coding RNA, 926 nt
Organism: Lolium perenne
Lineage: Eukaryota; Viridiplantae; Streptophyta; Magnoliopsida; Poales; Poaceae
Source: RefSeq, a predicted model, not a curated record
ACAAUCUUCCUCCAUCUCUAUAUCUCUCACAUUGUUCACUUGUGUUUGGCAAGAAUGGAGCCGGCCAAAAUGUGUAUGCAUGGCAAUUUCGGCCAGCCAUGCCUCUCCAUUUUUCUUCCUCUACAAGACUUGCCUCCCACCUAACCCAAUCACUAAAUGGGCAGCCACCCACCUUAGCCAAUCAAAAAAAGGAGGCAGCCACCAUCCUCCCUCUAUUUAAAGAGCUUGGCCGGCCACUCCCUCCUCCUUUGCCUCAUUUCUUUUCACUUCCCACUCCUUUCUUCACUCCCACACACUCUCCUCCUCCCCUCCCCACGAAAUAUUGCUCCCCCAAGGCUUCAUGGCCGGCCAUAGCCAUGGAAAGAACUCCAAGAUGAAGCUCCCUCCUCCCUCAAGCUCCUCCUCACCAUGAGAGCCUCCCUCUCCUUCUUCUCCCCAACCCUAGAUGGUUUUCUCUCCUCUUCCUCUUCCUCCAUUGCUAAGAUUGGAUCUUGAUGCAGGUGCAUGUUGGUCCAAGCAUGGAGAAGCUUGAGCUAUCCUCAGAUCUGAAGUUCUUGAGCAAAAUCCAAAUCGAGUGAUUCAAAGUUCCGCAGAUAGAUACGGAAAAGAUCUACAACUUGGCGUUGGUCUCAUCCUCAAAUUCGUUACGGAUUUUGCAUGAUCAAGAUCUGGUCAGAUCUGACUUUGUCGAAUUAAACCAGGAGCUUGGAGACGAAUUUUUGAAUGAAACCAACUGGGGGAUGUUUGGGUUAUACCAUGGUGAUAACCGAGAGAGGCAAUUGCUAAGUUAUGAUACUCUCAUACCUUUACUAGACGCGAGCAAUUCCGGAGAAGAAGAAGAAGUGGAAUUGGACAAGGAUUUUAUUUAUAUUGUUGGGAUUCUUAUAUUGAUAGAGUUGAAGAAGUACAGGGACAAAUAAGCCAAG